ACCCAAAGCAGUGCUUCACUACAGUGGCAGACAGACCUGAAAAUUUUCAUCUGAAGCAGCAGAGUGAACUGCAGAGGCAGGUCACCAACCAGUGUGGAGGCUAAAAGCGGGCCUCUUUGGGGAUUCCAGGUGGAAGUGUUGGACAUCUGUAGUAUUCCUGGUCUCGAAUCAUCCUGAUAUUCUUCAUUUUGUUAUUCACAUUGGACUAGGGUGAGGAAAUGAGUUCUGGUCAGAGUCAAUGUUUCCUAACAAUGUUGAUUUAUUUGGUCCUAAAUAUUUAAACACAUUUUAUAAAUAGCUUUUCCACACCACAUAUAUAGGGAAAAACAGGGAGUUAACUUGGCCCAGCAGCACUGUUUGUGGGGCUAACACCCUGUCUGUGUAUCUCACACCAACCCUAAGCUUUGUUUCUCUCCUGUCACUUUGCUCCUAUUUCUUUCAUGUGAAAGAAUGUUCAUUUUCUUUGAAAAUGAGCUCAUUUCCUCAUUUUCUUUCCAUAUUUCAGCAGGAACAAAGAUCACCACAACUGGCUCCCCUUCAACUAUGUUAGAUGGCAACUUGCCUUCAGUAUGGUGAAACACAUCAGUUAAGACCGGGGUUGUGCAUGGCAGGACUUUCUACAAGGACACCCAGUCUCCUUAAUAAACAUGAGAUGCUCUCUUUCCAGAA
Molecule: long non-coding RNA, 669 nt
Organism: Homo sapiens (human)
Lineage: Eukaryota; Metazoa; Chordata; Mammalia; Primates; Hominidae
Gene: APPAT
Product: atherosclerotic plaque pathogenesis associated transcript
Source: Ensembl